UGGAGUAUAAUAUAAUAAGGUUGGGCGACUUUUUAUAUAUACACCAAAUAAUGAUUUGAAAUGAAAUUAAAAAUCAUGCAAAAUGCAAAUCAUAACCUGGAAUAAGUAUGGUAAAAACAAUUGGUAAAAACAAAUGUUAAAAUGUAUUUUAAGAAUUUGACAAAACACAAAUAAAUUUAACAAGAUAUUGGUAAAGGUAAAUAUUGUUGGCAAAUAUUA
Molecule: long non-coding RNA, 219 nt
Organism: Teleopsis dalmanni
Lineage: Eukaryota; Metazoa; Arthropoda; Insecta; Diptera; Diopsidae
Exons: 3
Source: RefSeq, a predicted model, not a curated record